RNAcentral lists this ribosomal RNA (443 nucleotides) under uncultured bacterium. Its description in RNAcentral is "partial 16S ribosomal RNA". It matches the Rfam family "Bacterial small subunit ribosomal RNA", at positions 338 to 795 of the family's 1533-position model. The record is from RNAcentral.
CCUACGGGGGGCAGCAGUGAGGAAUAUUGGUCAAUGGACGAGAGUCUGAACCAGCCAAGUAGCGUGAAGGAAGAAGGCUUUCGGGUUGUAAACUUCUUUUCUCAGGGACGAAGAAAGUGACGGUACCUGAGGAAUAAGCCACGGCUAACUACGUGCCAGCAGCCGCGGUAAUACGUAGGUGGCAAGCGUUAUCCGGAUUUAUUGGGUGUAAAGGGCGUGUAGGCGGGAGCGCAAGUCAGAUGUGAAAUCUCAGGGCUCAACCCUGGGCCUGCAUUUGAAACUGUGUUGCUUGAGUGCUGGAGAGGCAAGUGGAAUUCCGGGUGUAGCGGUGAAAUGCGUAGAUAUACGGAGGAACACCAGUGGCGAAGGCGGAUUGCUGGACAGUAACUGACGCUGAGGCGCGAAAGCGUGGGGAGCAAACAGGAUUAGAUACCCCGGUAGUC